This 22-nucleotide non-coding RNA is filed under the name Arabidopsis thaliana (thale cress). Lineage: Eukaryota; Viridiplantae; Streptophyta; Magnoliopsida; Brassicales; Brassicaceae. The record is from RNAcentral.
UAAUUCAAGUGGUGUGUUCAGC